Long non-coding RNA from Ornithodoros turicata, 365 nucleotides. RefSeq lists it as uncharacterized. The transcript has 3 exons. The record is from RefSeq and is a predicted model, not a curated record. NCBI's taxonomy places the organism in Eukaryota, Metazoa, Arthropoda, Arachnida, Ixodida, Argasidae.
GGAAUCACUGACGAAAGUGUCGGAGAUGGCGCCGUGGGCUUUCGUUAUCAUCGCAUUGGUACCGGCUGUCGUCGUCGGUCAGGUAGAGCCGAGGCAAGGGGCACCGCAUCUCGCUGGCAGACUUGGGAAGGCUCGGUCACAGAACUCCAUUCCUCUCUUCUUGCAAGGCCGGCAGUCCAAUUCCGCGGAAUGCUAUGGCUUUUGCAAGGGAAUGAUAGGUGGCUGCGAAACCCAUCCUCGGUGUGUUUGUGUCCCUCUCAUCGGUGGUCAACGUCGGGUGUGCGCCCCGAGGUACGGUUAAUGAUAAUCAGCAACCGAGAAGCAGAAAUCAGCCUCGCAAUAAAAAAAAAUGUUGCCUCCUCGAA